Molecule: ribosomal RNA, 253 nt
Filed under: uncultured bacterium
Lineage: Bacteria
Description: partial 16S ribosomal RNA
Rfam family: Bacterial small subunit ribosomal RNA
Source: RNAcentral
UACGAAGGUUGCAAGCGUUACUCGGAAUUACUAGGCGUAAAGGGCAGGUAGGUGGUUUGGUAAGUCUAUUGUGAAAGCUCCUGGCUUAACUGGGAGAGGCCAAUGGAUACUGCCAAGCUUGAGUAUAGGAGAGGUUACUGGAAUUCCCGGUGUAGCGGUGAAAUGCGCAGAUAUCAGGAGGAACACCGGUGGCGAAGGCGGGUCUCUGGGCCGAUAUUGACGCUGAGGAGCGAAAGCGUGGGGAGCAAACAGG